UACGGAGGGGGCUAGCGUUAUUCGGAAUUACUGGGCGUAAAGCGCACGUAGGCGGAUCAGAAAGUCAGAGGUGAAAUCCCAGGGCUCAACCUUGGAACUGCCUUUGAAACUCCUGAUCUUGAGGUCGAGAGAGGUGAGUGGAAUUCCGAGUGUAGAGGUGAAAUUCAUAGAUAUUCGGAGGAACACCAGUGGCGAAGGCGGCUCACUGGCUCGAUACUGACGCUGAGGUGCGAAAGCGUGGGGAGCAAACAGG
This 253-nucleotide ribosomal RNA is filed under the name uncultured bacterium. Its description in RNAcentral is "partial 16S ribosomal RNA". It matches the Rfam family "Bacterial small subunit ribosomal RNA", at positions 524 to 776 of the family's 1533-position model. The record is from RNAcentral.